CCUACGGGAGGCAGCAGUGAGGAAUAUUGGUCAAUGGUCGGGAGACUGAACCAGCCAAGCCGCGUGAGGGAUGAAGGUACAGAGUAUCGUAAACCUCUUUUGUCAGGGAACAAAGGCGGGGACGUGUCCCCGGAUGAGUGUACCUGAAGAAAAAGCAUCGGCUAACUCCGUGCCAGCAGCCGCGGUAAUACGGAGGAUGCGAGCGUUAUCCGGCUUUAUUGGGUUUAAAGUGUGCGCAGGCGGUCUGUUAAGUCAGCGGUCAAAGCCCGGGGCUCAACCCCGGCCCGCCGUUGAAACUGGCAGGCUCGAGUUGGAGAGAAGUAUGCGGAAGGCGCGGUGUAGCGGUGAAAUGCAUAGAUAUCGCGCAGAACUCCGAUUGCGAAGGCAGCAUGCCGGCGCCACACUGACGCUGAGGCACGAAAGCGUGGGUAUCGAACAGGAUUAGAUACCCCAGUAGUC
This 459-nucleotide ribosomal RNA is filed under the name uncultured bacterium. RNAcentral describes it as "partial 16S ribosomal RNA". It matches the Rfam family "Bacterial small subunit ribosomal RNA", at positions 338 to 795 of the family's 1533-position model. The record is from RNAcentral.